Molecule: non-coding RNA, 93 nt
Organism: Tinamus guttatus (white-throated tinamou)
Lineage: Eukaryota; Metazoa; Chordata; Aves; Tinamiformes; Tinamidae
Source: RefSeq, a predicted model, not a curated record
UUAAAAAACAGCCACCCAUUUCCUUUCAAACUUCAUCACAGAGAACAUGUUUUCAGCACAGAUGAAGUUUUGGGUAGUUCAGCUGAUUAUUAG